UUGUAUAAGUUAAUCAGGAUGAGUAGGUUCUAGUAAUCUGGUAGAGAGUUUCCGGUUGGUGAAAGGAAAUAGGUUACGGUACCGAAUAUGGUCUUGAGGUUGUUAACUUGUAAAUAAGUAACUCAAGGGAGUUAUGAAUUUGCAAUGGUCGUGCCCAUUAUCGCGCGGGAGUCAGUAGACUCGUUGAGUUAGUAAUUACAAGAUUACUAAAAAGUUGGGUGGUACCACGCAAAGCAAAGCUUUUCGUCCCGAAU
RNAcentral lists this non-coding RNA (254 nucleotides) under Paucilactobacillus vaccinostercus. RNAcentral's name for it is "Lactobacillus vaccinostercus T-box sequence". It matches the Rfam family "T-box leader". From Rfam's summary of the family: Uncharged tRNA acts as the effector for transcription antitermination of genes in the T-box leader family. Lineage: Bacteria; Bacillati; Bacillota; Bacilli; Lactobacillales; Lactobacillaceae. The record is from RNAcentral.